This 974-nucleotide long non-coding RNA is filed under the name Apteryx haastii (Great spotted kiwi). Its description in RNAcentral is "lncRNA (ENSAHAG00000015727.1)". The record is from RNAcentral. Lineage: Eukaryota; Metazoa; Chordata; Aves; Apterygiformes; Apterygidae.
CCCCGCCCCCCCCCGGCGCGCGGGGGGGACACACGGGGGACAGGGGACGCGCAGGGGACACGGGACCGUCAGGGGACAGGGAUGGACAAGGGAUAUGGGACAUUCAGGGGACACAGGCAGGGACAGGGGACACAGGACAGACAGAACACAGGGAACAGGCAGGGGAUGCAGGCAGGGACAGGGGACACAUGGGACAUUGAGGGGACACAGGCAGGGACAGGGGACACGCAGGGGACAGGGAUGGACAGGGGACACAGGGACACGGGACACGGGACAUUCAGGAGACACGCAGGGGACAGGCAGGGACAGGGGACACAGGACAGACGGAACACAGGGGACAUCCAGGGGACACAGGCAAGGACAGGGUCGUGGCAGGCAGGGGACAGGCAGGGGACAGGAGGGAGGGGAUGGGGAAGAGAGCCUGUUCAGGGCUGGAUCCCCGUGUCCCCCGGGAUCCUCCUGGGAUCAGGGGAUCACUGUGUCCCCCCCCAGGGACCCUCCUGGGAUCAGGGGAUCCCCACGUGUCCCCCGGGAUCCUCCUGGGAUUGGGGAUCCCUGUGUCCCCUGGGAUCCUCCCGGGAUUGGGAUACGUGAUCCAGGGGAUGCCCAUGCCCCUCAGUGGAUCCUCCUGGGAUCAGGGGAUCCCUGUGUCUCCCUCCGGGAUCCUGCUGGAAUCAGGAAUCCCCACGUGUCCCCCCUCCAGGAUCCUCCUGGGAUCGGGGCUCCCCAUGUCCCCCCCGCCAGGGAUCCUCCCGGGAUCAGGGGAACCCCAUGUCUCCCUCGGGGAUCCUCCCGGGACGGGGGAUCCCCGCGUGCCCCCCCCGCCGGCGGCUCCCGCUCACCGGCGGCCACAAAGAGGAUGCCGGCGCCCAGGAUGAUGUUGCGCCUGGACUUGUAGACGCGGCUGGCGGCGACGCAGAAGCCGCCGAGGAGCAGCAGGAUGGCGCUGAGGAUGGGGAAGAUGCUCGAGGCCC